CCUACGGGUGGCAGCAGUGAGGAAUAUUGGUCAAUGGCCGGAAGCCUGAACCAGCCAAGCCGCGUGAGGGAGGAAGGUGCAGCGCGUCGUAGACCUCUUUUGUCGGGGGACAAAAGCCCGGACUCGUCCCCUCCUGAGGGUACCCGGAGAAAAAGCAUCGGCUAACUCCGUGCCAGCAGCCGCGGUAAUACGGAGGAUGCGAGCGUUAUCCGGAUUUAUUGGGUUUAAAGGGUGCGCAGGCGGCCUUUUAAGUCAGCGGUAAAAUCGCGGGGCUCAACCCCGGCGAGCCGUCGGAACUGGGGGGCUGGAGUGGGAGAGAAGCACGCGGAAUGCGCGGUGUAGCGGUGAAAUGCAUAGAUAUCGCGCAGAACCCCGAUUGCGAAGGCAGCGUGCCGGGUCGACACUGACGCUGAGGCACGAAAGCGCGGGGAUCGAACAGGAUUAGAUACCCCGGUAGUC
RNAcentral lists this ribosomal RNA (459 nucleotides) under uncultured bacterium. Its description in RNAcentral is "partial 16S ribosomal RNA". It matches the Rfam family "Bacterial small subunit ribosomal RNA", at positions 338 to 795 of the family's 1533-position model. The record is from RNAcentral.